AUUUGAGAUGCGAUGAGAGAUGCUGUUAUGGUUUUGUAAUUUGGUUGGUGUUGGUAUUCCACAACAGAACACCAUGCCUAAUAAUGGGAGUAAAGGGGACAAGUUUUUUUUCUGUGGACUGCCUUAAAUGUUCAUGUGGGGAGUGGCACUGGAGGGGAAUUGGGGAAGGGGACGGGGUUGCUGGCCCGGCUCCCUGCGAGGAGACUACGCGGUCGGAGCUUCCCGCCUUCCACAGCUCCAUCGGUUGAUCUUUUGGAUGAGCAGAUUUGCUAAAAGAGGUUGUAUGAGAUAACCUUCAGCGGAGCUGGGAACGGACAUGACUUUUGGGCCUCCUAUCAAAUUGCUUCUCUGCACAGCAUUGUUCCUGUGCCUGGUUGGCACCAGUGCUCCUCCUGCAGACCAGAGAGCAUGGAAUGGCUUCUUCCUGCAGCUCCCCCUCCCUUCUAGGCCCAUUCAGCAAGAACUGUUCUGCCUCUUCCUGGCAGAGCCACAGCUGGCCAGCUCAGCUGGGGGGCACCACCUUUGGGAUGCAAGAGUGCUGUGCCAAGGGCAGGUGCCGGGCAGCAGCCAUCAUCCAUUGCCCUAAACUAGUAACGCUUAGAGCCUUGCUGACAGAUGCUGAUACACACUACGGGUAAAUUCAGUGUGCAUGAAAGGACUCUUGUUCUUCUUCAGCAGAGAGCAUAAAGACAGAUUGUCAGACAAAUCAAUCUCUGAUAGCUCUCUUUUCAACAGCAUCGAGCUGUUAUUUUUCCUGGGCUUUGCCAGAACAUCUGAUUUAUCUGCUGUUCCCCUAAACAGACAGAUUUGCUGGUUUGGAUGAUACAGGAUCUUUUGUCAGGAAGAAAGAGGCCCUGACCAGCCUUUUGCUGUUGCUGUGUAUGUCCUUGCUUAGCUCCAGAGCUCUGGGUAGAGGUGGAAGGAAGGUGUACCUGUGAUGACUAAGUUUGUUUUUUUCUCUUGUAGCUCUAUGGAGUUGUAAAGGCAUCCACUCCUCCUGGGUAUGUGUAAAUUAGAUUGCCAAAACAAUUCAGAGAGAGUCUCCCACAGGGACAAAUGGCAGGUAGGGCUGUUUGCCAAACACUGCCACGAUCUGACAGAAUGAGCCCUACAGCCCAUCUGUAGUGAGCUCCAACUUGUUUCUUCCUAACUAUGCAUUUGACUACUCACUCCCUAAGCCAUCUUGGAGAUAACCAAGGUCAGGCUGGACAGAACUGUGAGCAGACUGAUCACCUACAGGUGUCCCCGUUCAUUGCUGGGGUGUUAGACUAGAUAACCUUACAGGGUCCCUUCCAACUCAAACAAUUCUAUGGUGAGUACCAGGAUGGAAGGGCUGAAGUCCCAUUCUGUGCUUUGGAGACCAGCUCUCUGUGUAUGCAGGGAGAGCGCUAGAGGAGUUAGUCGAUAUUUGCAUAUAGUGACUUCAAUACACACAGUGUUACAAGUGUACAAGGAGAUUAACAAAGACUUAAAGUAAUACACUCAGUUGAAAUAAUUUGCAGUGCUGUUAAACACACGUGGAUUGAUUUGGACUUACUGAAGAGCAGUUUCUGAGCCUGGAAUUACAUAGUUUGGGCAUGGCUGAGAUUGUAAACAUGGGAGCAGGCAACUUGUGCUCCAGACCCCUCACAGCUUUGCUGCCCUUCUCUGGACACGCUCCAGGGCCUCAAUGUCCUCCUUGCAGUGAGGGUCCCAACACUGAACACAGCACUCGGGGUGCGGCCUCACCAGAGCUGAGUACAGUGGGUGAGGUUCAGAUCCUGGUGAGGAUUUGGGGUGUGACCUGUGCCAACCUGUGCCUUGUUAAUGUCCCCACUCCAAGGCAGCAUACCUCUGUUCCUAACAGCCUGUGUGCAUGACUAAUGGUGUAGAUCCAAGUGAAGUAGGCGUUCUCUUUAAAGGCGACAUAUGAUAUUGUAGUUGGACAAAGAGGAAUUUCCUGUGUAAUCUCUGGAGACAGCUGUAUUACAUUUUUAUGAUCGCUCUGAUAUUUAUGCAGAGUUAUUGAAAUACGGUUAAAAGGCUUAAA
Long non-coding RNA from Coturnix japonica (Japanese quail), 2029 nucleotides. RefSeq lists it as uncharacterized. The record is from RefSeq and is a predicted model, not a curated record. Lineage: Eukaryota; Metazoa; Chordata; Aves; Galliformes; Phasianidae.